RNAcentral lists this ribosomal RNA (478 nucleotides) under Dosinia caerulea. RNAcentral describes it as "partial large subunit ribosomal RNA". It matches the Rfam family "Bacterial large subunit ribosomal RNA", at positions 1797 to 2586 of the family's 2925-position model. Lineage: Eukaryota; Metazoa; Mollusca; Bivalvia; Venerida; Veneridae. The record is from RNAcentral.
UGCCUGUUUUUACAAAAACAUGGCUCUUUGUUUAUUGAAGUAAAGAGUUUGGCCUGCCCAGUGGUGUAAGCUAAACGGCUGCAACGAGAGUUGUACUAAGGUAGCGUGGUAAGUUGUCCUUUAACUGAGGACUGGAAUGAACGGUUUCAUGGUGGGAAAGCUGUCUUUGAAAAAUUUUAUGAAGUUUUCUUUUGUGUGAAAAGGCUUAACUAUUUGUAAAAGAAGAGAAGACCCUGUCGAGUUUAAUUAUAAUAAGGUAUAUUUAAUAUUGUUUGAAAUUUUGUUGGGGAAACAUAAGCUUAAUUAACAGCUUAUUUUAAUGUAAAGAUCCUUUAGGAGAGAAAUAAGCAAAAACUACCGCAGGGAUAACAGCGCAACUUUUCUUAAAAGAGUUUAUUGAGGGAAGAGUGUGUGACCUCGAUGUUGGAUUAGGAAAACUUUACGGUACAGCAGCUGUAAGAUGUAAGACUGUUCGUUU